GACGAACGCUGGCGGCGUGCUUAACACAUGCAAGUCGAACGAGAAGAGAUGAGAAGCUUGCUUCUUAUUGAUUCGAGUGGCAAACGGGUGAGUAACGCGUAAGCAACCUGCCCUUCAGAUGGGGACAACAGCUGGAAACGGCUGCUAAUACCGAAUACGUUCUUUUGUCGCAUGGCAGAGAGAAGAAAGGGAGGCUCUUCGGAGCUUUCGCUGAAGGAGGGGCUUGCGUCUGAUUAGCUAGUUGGAGGGGUAAUGGCCUACCAAGGCGACGAUGCAUAGCCGAACUGAGAGGUUAAUCGGCCACACUGGGACUGAGACACGGCCCAGACUCCUACGGGAGACAGCAGUUAGGAAUAUUCGUCAAUGGGGAAACCCUGAACGAGCAAUGCCGCGUGAGUGAUGACGGUCCUAUGGAUUGUAAAAACUCUGUUGUUUGGAAAGAAUGUAUAAGUAGGAAAUGA
Molecule: ribosomal RNA, 461 nt
Filed under: uncultured bacterium
Lineage: Bacteria
Description: bacterial SSU rRNA
Rfam family: Bacterial small subunit ribosomal RNA
Source: RNAcentral